This is a long non-coding RNA of Triplophysa rosa, 160 nucleotides long. RefSeq lists it as uncharacterized. The record is from RefSeq and is a predicted model, not a curated record. The transcript has 3 exons. NCBI's taxonomy places the organism in Eukaryota, Metazoa, Chordata, Actinopteri, Cypriniformes, Nemacheilidae.
GAAAAUAAACUAUAAAGCAUAGCUACAACAUCCAUUGUCUCAAGAUGACAACUCUGAAGAGGAGAUCAGUUACCCUGUUACUGACAUACCACCUCAUGAUUCCAUGACAGAUGGCAGAUCUGACAGUGAAGAGGAGAUCAGUUACCCAUGCAAACACCAC